CUACACACGUACUACAAUGGCCGGUACAACGGGAAGCGAAGGAGCGAUCUGGAGCCAAUCCUAGAAAAGCCGGUCUCAGUUCGGAUUGUAGGCUGCAACUCGCCUACAUGAAGUCGGAAUUGCUAGUAAUCGCGGAUCAGCAUGCCGCGGUGAAUACGUUCCCGGGUCUUGUACACACCGCCCGUCACACCACGAGAGUUUACAACACCCGAAGUCGGUGAGGUAACCGUAAGGAGCCAGCCGCCGAAGGUGGGGUAGAUGAUUGGGGUGAAGUCGUAACAAGGUAGCCGUAUCGGAAGGUGCGGCUGGAUCACCUCCUUUCUAUGGAGA
Molecule: ribosomal RNA, 330 nt
Filed under: Paenibacillus sp. ICGEB2008
Lineage: Bacteria; Bacillati; Bacillota; Bacilli; Caryophanales; Paenibacillaceae
Description: bacterial SSU rRNA
Rfam family: Bacterial small subunit ribosomal RNA
Source: RNAcentral